CUACGGGAUCUGCAGUGAGGAAUAUUGCACUAUGGGGGGAACCCUGAUGCAGCAACGCCGCGUGGAGGAUGACGCAUUUCGGUGUGUAAACUCCUUUUAUAUGUCAAGAAAAUGACGGUAGCAUAUGAAUAAGCACCGGCUAACUCCGUGCCAGCAGCCGCGGUAAUACGGAGGGUGCAAGCGCUACUCGGAAUCACUGGGCGUAAAGGACGCGUAGGCGGGCUUGUAAGUCAGGUGUGAAAUCCUACAGCUUAACUGUAGAACUGCACUUGAAACUACGAGCCUAGAGUAUGGGAGGGGCAGAUGGAAUUAGUGGUGUAGGGGUAAAAUCCGUAGAUAUCACUAGGAAUACCUAAAGCGAAGGCGAUCUGCUGGAACAUAACUGACGCUAAGGCGUGAAAGCGUGGGGAGCAAACAGGAUUAGAUACCCGGGUAGUC
RNAcentral lists this ribosomal RNA (438 nucleotides) under uncultured bacterium. RNAcentral describes it as "partial 16S ribosomal RNA". It matches the Rfam family "Bacterial small subunit ribosomal RNA", at positions 339 to 795 of the family's 1533-position model. The record is from RNAcentral.